AACCCAUAAUGAGGGUACCUUUUCAACAGAUCCUUGUAUCUCUCCCAUGCAUUAUAGAGUGUUUCUAAAUCCAUCUGCACAACAAAAGAAAUAUCAUUCCUUAAUUU
Gossypium arboreum is the source of this 107-nucleotide non-coding RNA. The record is from Rfam. Lineage: Eukaryota; Viridiplantae; Streptophyta; Magnoliopsida; Malvales; Malvaceae.